RNAcentral lists this ribosomal RNA (499 nucleotides) under uncultured bacterium. RNAcentral describes it as "partial 16S ribosomal RNA". It matches the Rfam family "Bacterial small subunit ribosomal RNA", at positions 30 to 523 of the family's 1533-position model. The record is from RNAcentral.
AUUGAACGCUGGCGGAAUGCUUUACACAUGCAAGUCGAACGGCAGCACGGACUUCGGUCUGGUGGCGAGUGGCGAACGGGUGAGUAAUGUAUCGGAACGUGCCCAGUCGUGGGGGAUAACGUAGUGAAAAUUACGCUAAUACCGCAUACGAUCUAUGGAUGAAAGCGGGGGAUCGCAAGACCUCGCGCGAUUGGAGCGGCCGAUAUCAGAUUAGGUAGUUGGUGGGGUAAAGGCCCACCAAGCCAACGAUCUGUAGCUGGUCUGAGAGGACGACCAGCCAAACUGGAACUGUGACACGGUCCAGCCUCCUACGGGAGGCCGCAGUGGGGAAUUGUGGACAAUGGGCGAAAGCCUGAUCCAGCCAUUCCGCGUGCAGGAUGAAGGCCCUCGGGUUGUAAACUGCUUUUGUACAGAACGAAAAGGUUUCUACUAAUACUAGGAGCUCAUGACGGUACUGUAGAAUAAGCACCGGCUAACUACGUGCCAGCCGCCGCAGUAA